ACGAACGCUGGCGGCAGGCCUAACACAUGCAAGUCGAGCGCUACCUUCGGGUGGAGCGGCGGACGGGUUAGUAACGCGUGGGAAUAUACCCAGUUCUAAGGAAUAGUCACUGGAAACGGUGAGUAAUACCUUAUACGCCCUUCGGGGGAAAGAUUUAUCGGAAUUGGAUUAGCCCGCGUUAGAUUAGUUAGUUGGAGAGGUAACGGCUCCCCAAGACAUCGAUAGGUAGGGGUCCUGAGAGGGAGAUCCCCCACACUGGUACUGAGACACGGACCAGACUCCUACGGGAGGCAGCAGUGAGGAAUAUUGG
Molecule: ribosomal RNA, 310 nt
Filed under: uncultured bacterium
Lineage: Bacteria
Description: SSU rRNA
Rfam family: Bacterial small subunit ribosomal RNA
Source: RNAcentral